GUGCAGCAGGCGAGAAACCUUCGCAAUGCGGGAAACCGCGACGAGGGGACUCCCAGUGCCUACGCUCAGCGUAGGCUGUUCCCGAGCCUAGAAAGCUCGGGGAGUAAGGGCUGGGUAAGACGGGUGCCAGCCGCCGCGGUAAUACCCGCAGCCCGAGUGGUGGCCACUAUUAUUGGGCCUAAAGCGUCCGUAGCCGGCCCGGUAAAUGCCUGGGGUAAAUCGUGAGGCCUAACCUCACGAAUUCCGGGUAGACUGCCGGGGCUAGGGACCGGAGGAGGGAGAGGGUACUCCGGGGGUAGGGGUGAAAUCCUGUAAUCCCUGGAGGACCACCGGUGGCGAAGGCGCUCUCCUAGGACGGGUCCGACGGUGAGGGACGAAAGCCAGGGGAGCGAACCGGAUUAGAUACCCGCGUAGU
Molecule: ribosomal RNA, 415 nt
Filed under: uncultured microorganism
Description: bacterial SSU rRNA
Rfam family: Archaeal small subunit ribosomal RNA
Source: RNAcentral